CAGGCUGCGGGGCUGAAGUCAUGUCGUGGAUUGCCCAGAAUAAUCGAUCCAUUAUGGCCAUCACAAUUAAUUGACUUUUCUGUGACUCGGGGUCAAAUCUGAUGCCAGAGCCUACCUUGAUCACUCCUGUGCAUCUUUUAAAGGCUACGUCUGACCAUGACUGCUUGCUAAUGACCAGCCUCACUUUGCUGAUUGGAGAUCAAGCACAAAAAAAAUAAAAAUAAAUAAAUACCCGCUGAUUUAACUAAA
This 249-nucleotide long non-coding RNA is filed under the name Oryctolagus cuniculus (rabbit). RNAcentral's name for it is "lncRNA (ENSOCUG00000036005.1)". The record is from RNAcentral. Lineage: Eukaryota; Metazoa; Chordata; Mammalia; Lagomorpha; Leporidae.